Long non-coding RNA from Oncorhynchus keta (chum salmon), 1227 nucleotides. RefSeq lists it as uncharacterized. The transcript has 3 exons. Lineage: Eukaryota; Metazoa; Chordata; Actinopteri; Salmoniformes; Salmonidae. The record is from RefSeq and is a predicted model, not a curated record.
GCAAGAAAUGAUGCAUGAAACCACUUUACAAAAUAAAAUGAAUUAACAGAGAAUUAGACAAUGUUGACUUACAUUGACUUACAUGUUCAAGCCUGUCUCAAAAUACAACACUACCCCUUUUAUUAAAUCAACAUAAGCUGUUUACCUAACUGGCUUUUCAAAGGCAUAUAGUUCAGUUUUGUGCUCUUGUAGUCAGCAAUAACUCCCCACUUCUGACCUAUAUUUAUCUAUAACUGGGAUAAUAACUCACUAACUAGCAAAGAAUAUCAACAAAUGUUCACACUCUGAUCUGAAAAGUGCAAUUCACUUGCAGAUGAUUGAGAGACUCGUGGACUACCUUCGCCCCCCCCAUUCUACAGUAGGUCCCACUCUACAGUAGGUCCCCACUCUACAGUAGGUCCCCAUUCUACAGUAGGUCCCCAUUAUACAGUAGGUCCCAUUCUACAGUAGUUCCCCAUUCUACAGUAGGUCCCCAUUAUACAGUAGUUCUCCAUUAUACAAUAGGUCCCCAUUCUACAGUAGGUCCCCAUUCUACAGUAGAUUCAAUUCUACAGUAGGUCCCCAUUCUACAGUAGCUCCCCAUUCUACAGUAGGUCCCCAUUCUACAGUAGAUUCCAUUCUACAGUAGGUCCCCAUUCUACAGUAGGUCCCCAUUCUACAGUAGAUUCCAUUCUACAGUAGGUCCCCAUUCUACAGUAGGUCCCCAUUCUACAGUAGAUUCCAUUCUACAGUAGGUCCCCAUUCUACAGUAGGUCCCCAUUCUACAGUAGAUUCCAUUCUACAGUAGGUCCCCAUUCUACAGUAGGUCCCCAUUCUACAGUAGAUUCCAUUCUACAGUAGGUCCCCAUUCUACAGUAGGUCCCCAUUCUACAGUAGAUUCCAUUCUACAGUAGGUCCCCAUUCUACAGUAGGUCCCCAUUCUACAAUAGGUCCCCAUUAUACAGUAAUCCCCAUUCUACAGUAGGUCCCCAUUCUACAGUAGGUCCCUUUCUACAGUAGGUCCCACUCUACAGUAGGUCCCUUUCUACAGUAGGUCCCACUCUACAGUAGGUCCCACUCUACAGUAGGUCCCACUCUACAGUAGGUCCCCAUUCUACAGUAGGUCCCCAUUCUACAGUAGGUCCCCAUUCUACAGUAGAUCCCCAUUCUACAGUAGAUCCCCAUUCUACAGUAGGUCCCACUCUACAGUAGGUCCCACUCUACAGUAGGUCCCCAUUCUACAGUAGA